GUAGAUAACAACAUACAGGUUCGCAGAAUUCAAUACAUAUAUUAGAUUAUCAGUCUCAUAGUGAUGCCAGUAAGUAUGUAUGAAUAACAGUAAAAUUUUCCCUAUCCAUCCAUCCGGUACACUCCGCAGUAAAAUUUCUCAUAACUCCUCCAUCCAUACACACCAUAAUAGGUGUGGGUAAACCGCCAAUAGAUUACAGAUGAAAUGCCGGUAAAUUUAUGGAUAAACCACCAGUAUUAUUGCAGGUGAACCGCUAGAACUCCAUACUGGCAUUAAAUGCCUACAAAACUCCACGUUCACCCAACCCCAUGCAAUAGAUUGGCAUAUCAUGUGAAUGAUAGAAUUAGUAACAGUAUUAGCAUGCUCUUAAUCAUGUGAUCAUUUUCAAUUCAGUGUUCAAGCAACAUUAGUAAGCAUUUAUCCCUAUAAUUUUCAAAAUCAACACCAAAAUAUCAUCAAACACAUACUCAUCAAUAACAAAACAGAAAAAUGGCAGCAAAUUCAAUCAAACUUACGACACUCAAUUGAGUUUUCAACCAAAUAGAACUCACAGUUUUUCAGAAUCUUAACAGUGAAUGUACCCUUUUUAGAUCCGUUGCUACUUGUUGCAACUAAAACUGUUAGAAUAUUAUACUAACUCAAAUAGAUAAAUUCAACAUUUGUAACUCAAAAAUAGGUAGUUAUACACUUGGUCAAACCAUACACACACGAAAAAAAAACACGAUUUAGACAUACACAUGAAAACACAUAUUAUCAGAUUUGGCAUAAAAGUAUCAAAACGAUCCCAAAAGAAUCCGGUUAUGUAAAAUAGAAGAGAGCGAUCCAUAACUCUAUUGCGCAUUCAGAAAUGAAAUCUAACCAAUAAAAGAAAUCUCAGUUACCAACCUACCGCAAUUGGGAACUAAAUUAGAACUAAGUGAUCAAGAUGAUUCAGCCAAGAGAGUGAAAAGAUUGGCGACAACAAGGAUUUUAAACGAAUGUGGUAGGUAUGGUGUUCGAAAUAGAAAGAAAAGAAAAAUGAGAUGAGAAAAGAAGAGAGAAGAGGAUGACACAAGGAAGUAGAAGGGAAAAGAGAAGAGAAGAAAGGGAG
This 1090-nucleotide long non-coding RNA is filed under the name Gossypium barbadense (sea-island cotton). RNAcentral describes it as "long non-coding RNA (GBAR_LNC020180)". The record is from RNAcentral. Lineage: Eukaryota; Viridiplantae; Streptophyta; Magnoliopsida; Malvales; Malvaceae.